This 497-nucleotide ribosomal RNA is filed under the name uncultured bacterium. RNAcentral's name for it is "partial 16S ribosomal RNA". It matches the Rfam family "Bacterial small subunit ribosomal RNA", at positions 28 to 507 of the family's 1533-position model. The record is from RNAcentral.
GAUGAACGCUGGCGGCGUGCCUAAUACAUGCAAGUCGAGCGAACAGACGAGGAGCUUGCUCCUCUGACGUUAGCGGCGGACGGGUGAGUAACACGUGGAUAACCUACCUAUAAGACUGGGAUAACUUCGGGAAACCGGAGCUAAUACCGGAUAAUAUAUUGAACCGCAUGGUUCAAUAGUGAAAGACGGUUUUGCUGUCACUUAUAGAUGGAUCCGCGCCGGAUUAGCUAGUUGGUAAGGUAACGGCUUACCAAGGCGACGAUGCGUAGGCGACCUGAGAGAGUGAUCGCCCGCACUGGAACUGAGACACGGUCCAGAGUCCUACGGGAGGCAGCAGUAGGGAACCGUCCGCAAUGGGCGAAAGCCUGACGGAGCAACGCCGCGUGAGUGAUGAAGGUCUUCGGAUCGUAAAACUCUGUUAUUAGGGAAGAACAAAUGUGUAAGUAACUAUGCACGUCUUGACGGUACCUAAUCAGAAAGCCACGGCUAACUACGUG